AUGGGGCUGGCAGCUGCCCCCUGCCCCGCACCCAGAAGCCUCUGGAUGCAGCUGAGCCGUUUCCCCGGCGGGGCUGAGCUGCGUGGGAGCCUGCAGUGUAUAACGGGCUGGGGCUCGCUGCCAGACUACACGUCCCGGCGUGCUCCGCUGCCUGCGUGCUGGGUGCUGGGUGCUGCAGAGGCCUCGCAGCCAGGGUGCAGGGAGCAGGUUUUUUUUCCUUUGGCCUGGGUCAGGCAGGCUCUAGCAAAGGAGGAUUGUGCAAGGAUGGGGACAAGGGGGAGAGGCCAUGUUUUGGCUUUGCCCUCAGACACAGAUUUGCCAGAGCUGUUGCAGCCUGUGGGAGAAGGUGAGAAGACAGGCUGGACUACAUGUCCGGGAGUGUUUGCCACAUACUUUGUCCCUGUGGCUCCAACCACCACGUGUCCUCAGGCCUCAGCAAAGGGAAAUGGGAGGUUUGGGAACUGCCCUGAGAUGAACCAUGCUGCUCCACGUUUUGUGUCUGGAGCAGCCUUCUUUUGGGUCCUCCCAGAGCCACCAGCACAUGGGGACAGCCAGAGCCAGAGCCAUGCUUACUCUUUGUGUCAGAUGGUCCUACAGAUGUGGUCCUCUCCUGACCAGGCAUCUGCUCCGCUGAUGUCUCCAAGCUCUUCCCUCCCUUGGCACGAUGCCCUGGAGUAUGCGGGGUCGCCCCUGUGCGCGCCCCAGCUCCUCUCCCAGCCCUCUGAUCUGCACGGUUUGCACGUUCCAGCCAGAUGCCAUCACUGUGCUGCCAUCGCCACCCCAUCCUGGAUCCCCUCUCCCUCUUUUUUCACCCCCUCCACCCUAGAAACACUGGUGCUAGGCCGGCAACUGUUUUCCACCCUCCUGCCGCACUCGCCUGGUGGGUGGCAUCUACUCACCCUUGGGUGGGGGGAGGAGUGGGGCAGGGUGAGGCAGGAGCAGGAGAUCAGGGCGAGGGAUAAAGCUGGGCCUAUUUUUAUACUGCAAAGUAAUUACCAGAGCUUUCCAAUCCUUAAUCUGCCGAGCACCCCAGUGUGA
Molecule: long non-coding RNA, 1038 nt
Filed under: Athene cunicularia (burrowing owl)
Lineage: Eukaryota; Metazoa; Chordata; Aves; Strigiformes; Strigidae
Description: lncRNA (ENSACUG00000011371.1)
Source: RNAcentral